Molecule: ribosomal RNA, 444 nt
Filed under: uncultured bacterium
Lineage: Bacteria
Description: SSU rRNA
Rfam family: Bacterial small subunit ribosomal RNA
Source: RNAcentral
AGAACGAACGCUGGCGGCAGGCUUAACACAUGCAAGUCGAACGCCCCGCAAGGGGAGUGGCAGACGGGUGAGUAACGCGUGGGAAUCUACCCAGUUCUACGGAAUAACACAGGGAAACUUGUGCUAAUACCGUAUACGCCCUACGGGGGAAAGAUUUAUCGGGAUUGGAUGAGCCCGCGUUGGAUUAGCUAGUUGGUGGGGUAAUGGCCUACCAAGGCGACGAUCCAUAGCUGGUCUGAGAGGAUGAUCAGCCACACUGGGACUGAGACACGGCCCAGACUCCUACGGGAGGCAGCAGUGGGGAAUAUUGGACAAUGGGCGCAAGCCUGAUCCAGCCAUGCCGCGUGAGUGAUGAAGGCCUUAGGGUUGUAAAGCUCUUUCGAGUGGGGAAGAGUAAUGACGGUACCACAGAAGACGCCCGGCUAACUUCGCGCCAGCAGCCGC